AAGACCAGAUCUCUAUGAACUGAAGCCGACUAGAGAGACCUAAACAAACCUUCCACGAUGAAUACAUAGGCAAGAUCGGAUCCAGAAGGAGAUAAAAAGCCAUGGGUUGCAAAAUCCCAGUAGAAACAAUAUGCGUCAUUAGCAAUUAGAAGGUGAUGAUAACUUCGAUCGUAAGUGUCUCACUCGUGCUCUUCCUGCCCAGUCACUAAUGAGCAGAGGAGAAAG
RNAcentral lists this unclassified non-coding RNA (225 nucleotides) under Hevea brasiliensis (rubber tree). Lineage: Eukaryota; Viridiplantae; Streptophyta; Magnoliopsida; Malpighiales; Euphorbiaceae. The record is from RNAcentral.